This 481-nucleotide ribosomal RNA is filed under the name uncultured bacterium. RNAcentral describes it as "partial 16S ribosomal RNA". It matches the Rfam family "Bacterial small subunit ribosomal RNA", at positions 30 to 506 of the family's 1533-position model. The record is from RNAcentral.
AUUGAACGCUGGCGGCAUGCCUUACACAUGCAAGUCGAACGGUAACGGGCCUUCGGGUGCCGACGAGUGGCGAACGGGUGAGUAAUACAUCGGAACGUGCCCGAUCGUGGGGGAUAACGAGGCGAAAGCUUUGCUAAUACCGCAUACGAUCUACGGAUGAAAGCAGGGGACCGCAAGGCCUUGCGCGGACGGAGCGGCCGAUGGCAGAUUAGGUAGUUGGUGGGAUAAAAGCUUACCAAGCCGACGAUCUGUAGCUGGUCUGAGAGGAUGAUCAGCCACACUGGGACUGAGACACGGCCCAGAAUCCUACGGGAGGCAGCAGGGGGGAAAUUUGGACAAUGGGCGCAAGCCUGAUCCAGCCAUGCCGCGUGCAGGAUGAAGGCCUUCGGGUUGUAAACUGCUUUUGUACGGAACGAAAAGCCUUCUUUUAAUACAGGAGGGUCAUGACGGUACCGUAAGAAUAAACACCGGCUAACUACGU